RNAcentral lists this ribosomal RNA (807 nucleotides) under uncultured archaeon. Its description in RNAcentral is "bacterial SSU rRNA". It matches the Rfam family "Archaeal small subunit ribosomal RNA", at positions 129 to 921 of the family's 1478-position model. The record is from RNAcentral.
ACCUCGGGAAACUGAGGCUAAUACUUCAUAGUUGGAAAUUCCUGGAAUGGUUUUCCAUCGAAAGAUAUUUCUAAAUGCGGAAAAUUCGCUGAAGGAUAGGAUCGCUUUCGAUUACGGUUGUUGGUGAGGUAAUGGCUCACCAAGCCUAUGAUCGAUAAGGGCCGUGAGAGCGGUAGCCCUGAGAUGGAUACUGAGACAAUGAUCCAGGCCUUACGAGGCGCAGCAGGCGCGAAACCUUUACAAUGCACGAAAGUGUGAUAAGGUUACCCGGAGUGCUAAAAUUAAAUUUUAGCUGUUAUAGGUGUGUAAAUAACCCUAUGAGAAAGGAGAGGGCAAGGCUGGUGCCAGCCGCCGCGGUAAAACCAGCUCUUCAAGUGGUCGGGAAUAUUAUUGGGCUUAAAGUGUCCGUAGCCGGUUUGGUAAGUUCCUGGUUAAAUCUGGCAGCUUAACUGUCAGUCAGCUAGGAAUACUACUUUACUAGAGGGUGGGAAAGGUUUGAGGUACUCCAGGGGUAGCGGUGAAAUGCGAUAAUCCUUGGGGGACCACCAGUGGCGAAGGCGUCAGACUGGAACACGCCUGACGGUGAGGGACGAAAGCCAGGGGAGCGAACGGGAUUAGAUACCCCGGUAGUCCUGGCCGUAAACGAUGCGUGCUAGGUGUUGGUAGGGCUUUGAGCUGUAUCAGUGCCGUAGGGAAACUGUUAAGCGCGCCGCCUGGGAAGUACGCUCGCAAGGGUGAAACUUAAAGGAAUUGGCGGGGAAGCACCACAAGGGGUGAAGCCUGCGGUUCAAUUGGAGUCAACGCCGG